Molecule: long non-coding RNA, 976 nt
Filed under: Gallus gallus (chicken)
Lineage: Eukaryota; Metazoa; Chordata; Aves; Galliformes; Phasianidae
Description: lncRNA (ENSGALG00010026672.1)
Source: RNAcentral
GUAAUGAGGACACUUUACUACAGCAUUACUAAAACCCCACUAUGACUGGGAAAAACUUCCAGCUACAUUCAGCUGCAGACAAUCAGUCAUCAGAGAUGCUUCAUGGCACAUCUACACGACUCUCUUCCCCAGGCUUCCCAGGCCUGAAAUGCAGAGAAGUAUUGGACAUUCAGCCUGAAAAUCCAGCCAACAAUCUCUGUGCUUCAAUUCAUUCUACAGAACAUAUCUUUGUACAGAUUUACAGGCCUAGAACUCAGUAAACAGCAUCUCUAUGCAAGUUUCUAGCAGUCAUCUUCUGGAAUUUCAGUUUCAUUUGCAUUUUUACCAUCAUAUAACAACUCCAGACAGAACCACCACUGGAGUUUUUCAGAAAGAAUUAGUGGUAUUUAUUUGGCAUCCAACUUUUGGGGAUUAAAUGAGAGCAAAAAUCUCAAACUCUGACAUAGAUUACCCCUGAUGCAUCCUUUCUAACCUCUGGCUGUGGACAUACUUCCUAGUAAACCAAGUGCAUGCAGAGACCUACUCUUACAUUCACUCAAUCCAAAAGACCAAUUCAAGAACAUACGUGACACUUAGCUAUGAAUGCAAAAAAUUUUUAAGGCUGUCAAAUAACUCUGCCUACACUGACUGCUUGAGCUAACAGGGUUUUCAACAGUGAAGUCAAGACCUGGCACAGUGUAUCAUACACCUUCACUAGAAACUCUUUAAUCUGAGGGAAAAAGAUGAAGCUCCUUCAAUCUUUUAUACUGGGAGUGUUUCUUUGAAAUAAGUAUCAAAAUCAGCCACAUUCUUCACAAUCUAACAUCAAAGUAUUGGAGGUUGGUGGGGUUUUUCUUGUGGCUGUUUUAUGGCUUUUUUAUUUAAUUAAGCCAGGAAAGAAGACCGCACAGUAGAAAAAAAAUCGCUUCAGGAAUUUUUUUUUUUUCCCCAGUAUACUCGUGCAAAACUUCAUCAGAACAAAAAGCAUAAAUAACAG